This 326-nucleotide ribosomal RNA is filed under the name uncultured eukaryote. RNAcentral describes it as "partial 18S ribosomal RNA". It matches the Rfam family "Eukaryotic small subunit ribosomal RNA", at positions 1470 to 1796 of the family's 1831-position model. The record is from RNAcentral.
CCCUUAGAUGUUCUGGGCCGCACGCGCGCUACACUGAUGCAUACAACAAGCCUAGCCUUGACCGAGAGGUCCGGGUAAUCUUUGAAACUGCAUCGUGAUGGGGCUAGAUUAUUGCAAUUAUUAAUCUUCAACGAGGAAUGCCUAGUAAGCGUGAUUCAUCAAAUCGCGUUGAUUACGUCCCUGCCCUUUGUACACACCGCCCGUCGCUCCUACCGAUUGAAUGUGUUGGUGAGGAGCUCGGAUUGGCAGCAGUUGGUGGUUCGCCACCGGCUAUUGCUGAGAAGUCCUCCAAACCGCCCCAUUUAGAGGAAGGAGAAGUCGUAACA